UUCUUUUGCUUUGUGUUUUCUCCACAGUUUCAUGUUUUCUUGUUAAUUUUGUGUUUUUAUAUCUGAAAUAUUUUUGUCAGCAACAUUAUUUUAUGUUUCAUAAAAAGUUUCAGUUGCAGCUUCUGCACUUUUCUAACUUCUUGAAUGUUUUCUCUGUUGAUGCUCAGACGUGACAGCAGUGAUCAUCACUGCAGCUGUAAUUGUUGCAGCAUGCAUUCUAGUUGUUGUGAUGUUGAUGGGAUGGAGGAGGAUUAAAGAAAGAAAAACACAGAUUGAGACAAACAUGACUCCUCCAGAAGAUGCUGAUUCCUACGCCUCCAUCAGCUUCUCCAGGAACACCAACAACAGACGGCAGGUUCUGGACAAAGACGAUGGAGGAGAUGCAGUGAUCUACAGCACUGUUAAAGUGUCUUCUUCUGAUCAUGAUCCCAUCAGCCUCCAUUAAACCAACAGAUGAGAGUCACAGCAAAUGUUCACCUGAGGAUUUAUGUUAGAAUCCUGCAUUCAGAUCUUGAAAAUCAUGUUUUAAAAGAAGCUUCAGGACUUUCACUUCACAUCUUUUAACUUUAAGAGUGAUAAAUAUAAAUGAAAUAAACUUUAGUAAAGUGUCUGUCCCACUUUAGCCUCUAUUAUCAAAAUCAU
This is a long non-coding RNA of Oryzias melastigma (Indian medaka), 642 nucleotides long. RefSeq lists it as uncharacterized. The transcript has 4 exons. The record is from RefSeq and is a predicted model, not a curated record. NCBI's taxonomy places the organism in Eukaryota, Metazoa, Chordata, Actinopteri, Beloniformes, Adrianichthyidae.